RNAcentral lists this ribosomal RNA (96 nucleotides) under Coralliozetus micropes (scarletfin blenny). Its description in RNAcentral is "partial 12S ribosomal RNA". Lineage: Eukaryota; Metazoa; Chordata; Actinopteri; Blenniiformes; Chaenopsidae. The record is from RNAcentral.
UACAUAUUAUGUAAUGAUUGAUCCCUACAUCUAGCAUUUAAGAAAGAAGCAGUGAGAACCGACCAACGGUGAUUCUUGGCGCAUGUAAUGACUGAA